RNAcentral lists this transfer RNA (82 nucleotides) under Danio rerio (zebrafish). It matches the Rfam family "tRNA". Rfam says of the family: Transfer RNA (tRNA) molecules are approximately 80 nucleotides in length. Their secondary structure includes four short double-helical elements and three loops (D, anti-codon, and T loops). Further hydrogen bonds mediate the characteristic L-shaped molecular structure. tRNAs have two regions of fundamental functional importance: the anti-codon, which is responsible for specific mRNA codon recognition, and the 3' end, to which the tRNAs corresponding amino acid is attached (by aminoacyl-tRNA synthetases). tRNAs cope with the degeneracy of the genetic code in two manners: having more than one tRNA (with a specific anti-codon) for a particular amino acid; and 'wobble' base-pairing, i.e. permitting non-standard base-pairing at the 3rd anti-codon position. Lineage: Eukaryota; Metazoa; Chordata; Actinopteri; Cypriniformes; Danionidae. The record is from Rfam by way of RNAcentral.
GUAGUUGUGGCCAAGUGGUUAAGGCGAUGGACUUGAAAUCUAUUGGAGUAUCCCUGCUCAGGUUGGAAUCAUGCUGACUACG